UUCUCCCCAAACUUUGCUUCCCCCGUCGGCGACGAACCCUAGCUAGCUACUCUCUCUCUCAAAAAAAAAAAAAAAACUCGAAUCAGUCCGGGUGCGAGAGGCCACCGGCGGCAUGGCUGCGUGCGGCGGCGGAGGAGAGCGCUCUAAAGUCGGAUCGGAUCGACCUGACCGAAUCCCGCCGCCGCGCCCGUCUAGCUCGCCGUGGCCGAUGACCGCGUCGGCCGGGGCCGCGUCCCUGCCCAAACGGCGGCGAUGAUGGAGGGAGCCGCCGGCGCCGGCCAGGAUCCCGACCGGCGGACGCGCCGGGUCGCCGCUCCUCGGGGCCAGCCCCUCCCGCCGCGCCGGAUCGCGCAUCGGCUUGGAGGCCCCUCGGGGCUGCCGCCGGUGCGGGAGGCGUCCGCGUCCGCGCGGGAUGGGGAGCGGGGACCGAGCGACGGGGCUCGUGAUGCGUUCCGGUCGAGGGAUUGGUCGGCCCGGCGCGGGAUCUGAGCCGCCGCCGAUGGAUUUCUCGCAGCUUGGCUGCCUGUUGCUUUGGAUCCUGUACGAUCCCCAUCUCUCUCCGAGACUGACCCCACACUCACUCGCUCACUCUGUGUGCGCGCGCGUGCGCGCAGUUCACACCCGUGACCCCAAACCCUAAGCCGAAUCAGGCGAGCUCUCGUUGCCGGAUCGCUGGCCAAUCGUCCCGUUGGCCGCCACGUCAGUUCCGCACCGCGGUGGUGCUGCCAGCCACCGCCGUUCCAUUGCCUUGGAUUCGGGUGUGGCGUGGGCUGGGAACCGUACGGUGUUUGUCUGACGCGUCAUCCGCGCCGGGAGGUUUGGUCGGUCGACUCCAGAGGCAAUCUCCUUUUUGGACCAAAAAGAGGGGCGAUGACGAGGACGACGAUGAUGAUGACUCUGGCUGAAAUAAUCAUGUCUUGAGCAAUCAAGACAGCCUUAGCUUGUGGGACUAAACAGAGCUGAGAAAGUCGGUGUCAGCGUUGGAGUUCCCCUUAGAGCCCACCCUUGCCUCUGUUGCAGCCUGCUCAAUUUGUCGCCGAUGUUGGAUGAUCUGUGCCUUGGACGGUCGUUCUGAUGAGUGAUAACCAGCUUACACUGCGAUGGGUAGGUUAUGAGCAAGAGAUGUGGGUGUUGGGUUUGAAGAUGAAUGACAAAGCUGAGCCCUCUUUUGCUACGCUACAUACACUGAAUUUUCACUGUUCAGUUGCAUUUUGUUUUGGAUUCGGUAUGGAUCCUCCUCUCUCUCUCUCUCUCUCUCUCUCUCUCUCUCUAUGUCUAUAUAUGUAUAUUAGUAUAUAUAUCCUACAACAAAUCAGUCAAGCUGUCAUUGCCUACUCGCUGACCCAUGGUCUGGGUGGACUGACACUAUGGUGCCGCCAGCCACCACCGUUCCAUUGCCUUGGAUUCGGUUGUGGCGUGGGCUGGGAACCAUACAGUGUUGUCUGAUGCAGCGUCCGAGCCCGAGGUUUGGUUGGUUGAUGCCAGGCAUGAGCAGCUCCUGAGAGCAUGGUUAAUAAUAGAGCCAACUUCUGGAAUGCAUGUAUGUAUGGAUACUAUGGUCAUGAUGCCGUUGAAGUCACUGUUUUGACCUUUUUGGAAAGGUUCAACACAAAAUGAACCAUGUCGGAAACUUUAGCACAAUCUAACCCCUUCUAUCCAUCCAUCCAUCGAUCCAUCUAUCUAUCUAUCUAUUUGGGGCGAUGAUGAUAAAACAUGUCUGACAUAAACUUGUCUUCGAUUAUUCGAGGAGCUGUGGGCUUCAAAAACCUACUCUCCCCUCUUUUGGCACCUUAUCAUUCUCACCGAAUAUUGACCGGCUCUCUCUUGGAUGGUCAUUCUGCUGAGUGAUAACCAGAGGAGCUCGACCUCUGUGGUGGGGGUUGAUCUGGUGAAAGAAGAUGGAGCUAGGUUGUAUGAUAUAUCAAAGGCGAAUCUGAGCCCUCUCAAAUCUCAAUGCAACUAAUACUGUGCCCUCUACACAUCUAUUAUCCCUAUUGCCUUUUUAUGUUUUAAAUUGAUGAAUUGUCGUGGUUGUGGCAUUGGGCCAUCUCAUUAGGAGCAACUACGCACAAAUCACCUCUCGUGGUGUUCGGUUUGCCUUCCCAUGAUUUUGUUGUCCAUUGAGGGAACCAGCUUGGUGCAUCCGGGCUUUUUAUUUUCUGUUAUUAUUUUUCCUUGAAUGGCUGUGAUAAUAAUGCUGCCCUUGGGUAUUUUUUGAAAUUAUCUUAUUUGGUACUGUAUCAGUUUGGUUGUUUCAAUUGCCAUUUGACUUUCGAUAAUUUCAUUUUGCUAGUAUUCUCUUUAUCUAGUUUGGUGCAUCUUUGUUGUCCAUUGAGGGAACCAGUUUGGUGCAUCCGGGCUUUUUAUUUUCUGUUAUUAUUUUUCCUUGAAUGGCUGUGAUAAUAAUGCUGCCUUGGGUAUUUUUUGAAAUUAUCUUAUUUGGUACUGUAUCAGUUUGGUUGUUUCAAUUGCCAUUUGACUUUCGAUAAUUUCAUUUUGCUACUGUUCUCUUUAUCUAGUUAUCAGUUUGUACUUUUGGGCACUCCUCAUUUAUUUACUGGUUUUCAUCUUAAGGGUCAUAUAGGGCAAGUUCAGAUGUCAAGAUUAUUGUUUCCUUCAUGUCAUGUUCAUGAAUGGCUGUGAUGAUAUUGCUUCCCUGUUAGUGCUUCUAUCUAACACCUGAAUUGAUUCAGUUGGUUCUAAACUAGGAGUCCUUGUGUCACAACAAGUAACCGGUUUAGCGGCUAACAAUUACCAUUAAACAUUGGAAUUAAAAAUCCACUUAACAGUGUGGAGAGAGAUUACAUGGAAUUAAGGACUACUUUGUUUGAAUAAAUAAAAAAAUUGUGUUGUGAAGGGCCUAGAAAGAGGAAGAGGAUUUCACAUCUUUUCAUCAAACUAUGCUAUUAUUUGCAACUGUAUGUCCUUUGUUAUGCAUGUUCUGUUUCUUGUCUCAGCAUUCCCAUUUAGUCGUAACCGCAUUUUAUUUUGUGGAAGGUCUUACAUUCACGUAUUUGCUGCACUGCGGCACCACAAGCAUCAGCAAUUGUAAUAAUUACAUUUGAUCUAUUAAUUUAUUAAUUAUAUUUUUUAAUUCCGAAUCUACAAUUCUAUUUCUCGUUUACAUUAUGUUCAAUGUAAUCUGCAGCACUAACCCUGUUGAUGGCUUUCUUCUGGUUCAAAAAAGAAAGUUCAUGUUCUCCUAUUUUUAUUUUGGCUUGGAGUGACUCGUUUUAUCUGAAGUGAACAAAUGGCAAUUGCUUCUUUCAUUGCCAGUAAUACGGCCAUCAGUGCACUAUUCCAUAUUAACUUUUGAACACAGCAUAUUUGUUUAUGUUGUGUGUUGUUGAUAAUUAUUCUUUUUCUGAAUGGCUAUGAUGAUUUCCGCCCCUUGGUGUCUUUCAACAUAUCCUGAGAUAGAGACACUUUCACGUCUCUAGGUUGGUUCCAUUCAACUUUGCCCAGUUAGACAGUUAGUCAUUAAACUAGGAGGCCUUGCUCUACAGCAAGUUACCAGUUGUGGCUAUUUGUUGCUGAGUGGAGAGAGGUUUUAUUCCUUAUGUUACUACCUGAAGCAUUGUCCAACUAAGGUGAUUCAUGGUCAGGUAAAUCUGAGCCAUUCAUUCAAGAUAAUAAUAGUAUUCUCGACUUACAUUGUAGUUAACAACAUGCCAUUUUAUUUCUAUAAAGAGUGCAAAUCAUGAACUACGUAGAUAGGCUUCAAGUAUCCACCAUGUAUGCUGUAUAUGACAAUAUAAAAGUCAAUUAAAAAAAUGUAACCUAUCAACGACGUCGACAUGUACAAUUCAAAAAAUAUAACUUAUCAACGCCAUCAACAUGUAUGGCUGGCUAAUGUGGCACGAUUGCAUUUUGCAACUUAUAAUUGACAUGCAUAGGUCCUUAGGUGGCAUGGUUGCAUGCUUAGAAAAACUAGAUCGUGGAUUGGAUGUAAAUAAAUGUAACUUAUCAUUUGUGAUUGACAUCCAUACGUGCUGAUGUGGCGUGGCUGCAUGUUAUUAAAAAUUAGCUAGUGGGUUGUAGCUAUUUAAAAGUAGAGGAUUCCUCAUGUAUUUGUUAUGGUACGUGAGUCUGACACUUCACACUUGUACUUCUGCCUGAGUAUAGUAAUUUUAGCAUUGGGUACUUCUGAAAUAUACUCCAGAAAACAGCUUGGUUUCCUGAACAGCCUUUUUAAAAGUAUAUCUUAUUGGCAAUCGUUAAUGGUCAUGAUCCCAUGGUGAAAAUUAAGUCGUUUAUACUCUACACUCUGGGCCUGUAGCUUGCAAAGUGAACCUGCCUAUCUAUGGCUCUGGUUCUUUCUGUCUGUGGACCUUCUGGCCUUCUGGGAAGGUGAGAGGAUGUGAAAUCUUUUUAUUUUGAACCAAUUUAAAGCAGUUUUUUAAUGCUACUGUUAACACCCCCACCCCCUCUUGUACCAUCCAAUUAUUACUUUUCCUUGUGUUGAUAUUGGUAUAAUAGUCCUCCUUAACUACCAUUAUCGAUGCUUGCCAUCAUUGUCCUUAUAAAACUUCCCAGCCAUCAUCCCUAGCCCUGGUGGUGGCCUUGGAGCUUCGGUUCAUGGGGCCACCCCUCCUGUUCAGGCCCACUGCACUAAUGCAUUGGCUUGGAGGCCCUCCUCGGGCAGUUGCCGCAGCUGAAACAGCAGGGGCUGGCGGUUUUGGGUUGGGCAUCGUGGAAGAUUGGGACCCUGUGUGGCCUCUCAUGCCUGGGAAGUCGGGUGUCCACGGUGAGGCCUCCUUUGGUUUACAGGAAUUUUGUAGGAACUAUAUAGGAUAGGAUUCCUAGGGGAAAACUCAUAUGGCUCCUAUUCCUAUGAUAUUCCUAUCCUAUGAACCAAAGGAGGCCUGAGAUCUGAGCUGCCGCGAUGGAUUUUUCAUGAUACAGUUCCACUUUUUGGCUUGAAUCGGUAUGCAUGCAAUUACACCCUAAUCUGCUGCCUUAAUUCUGAAUCCCUCUGCCUGAGCUCUCAUUGAAUACAUGGAGGGAAUACAUAUAGUGUAAAAAACGCUCUUAUAUUAUGGAACGGAGGGAGUGUGUAUCACAUGAUUGUCCUUUUUUCGCCAAUGUUUUUAGCUAUUGGCAGUUCUGUUCAUGUGGUUAACGAGAAGCUGUUGUUUUGCUUGUCUUGUCCUGCCAGAUGCUUUUUCAAAGACAAAGUUAUGAUCAGCAAUAUCUGUGUUUUCUUAGAACUGAAGCUCAUACUGCGUUAGUUUUAUUUUGGUCAGAGCAGCAUUUAUUUUGCUGGUCAUUAGUCUCUUUUUAAGCUGCUGCUGCCAACUUGCCACAUUUUGAUUCAUUACCGAGGAACUGAUUCCUCGCAGGUUGUUUAAAAUGAGUGUCCAGUCAACUGCAUUCGUUUGUUUAAAAAGGUCUUAUAUUUUGUCUAAUCAUGAUUGAAGGUGCUCUUGGAGCUUUUGCUUGGGUCACCUGGGAUCUGUAUGCCAUUGUCCCUGCAUUCGUUAUGUUAGCCAUUGUCCCCCUUCUCUAUAUGCCAGAACAAUGAGUAGGUUUCAAUAUCUUAUGGGUUUCAGCUCUAGCCUAUCCCAAGUUGUUUGGGACUGAAAGGCUUUGUUGUGUUGUACUAUCUGAAGCAUUUUCCAACUUCGGUGAUUCAUGGUGGGGUAAAUCUGAGCCAUUCAAGCAAUACACCAAAAUUUUCCUUGAUUUUGUGAACUAUUCCUUGUGCGCCAUGUGUUUGUUAUGAUACCUGUGUUUUAUACUUCUUUUGUCUGAUUAUUAUAGUAAUUGGAUCAGUGAGUAUUCCAAAAAACAGCUUGAUUUUCAUUUUCCUGAACAGCUUUUGUGUGUUUUUCUCAUGUCAAAAAUUAAGUCGUAUGUACUCUUCUGUACAUUGUGGGCCUGUAGCUUGAAAAGUGAACCUGGCGUUACCUAUGGCUCUGGUUCUUUUUGUGGACCUUCUCAGAAGGUAAGAUGGCGUGAAAUCUUUUCAUUGAACCAAUUUAAAAGCAGUUCUUAUUGUUGCUAUUGUUAAUCUUUUUGUUCCUAUUUUCGUAUCCAUUAUCAAUUUUUCUUGUAUUGACAUUUGAUAUUGUUGUCCUUGUUAACUUUAACCAUCGACGCUUGCCACUCCAAGCCCCAACAAUUAGGAAGGGUGCUGGCGUUUUGUGGUGGGAACCGUUACCCUGUGCAUCCAUCUAUCUGGCUGGCUGGCUAGCUUGUGCGAUGGUGAUCAACUGACAUAAACCUGUCUCCGAUUAUUCAAGGAGCCGAGGUGUUCUUCCUUUGCCCGGCGGCGCAACCUGGCGUCGGCGCGCGGGAGCUGCUAGGGAGGGGAAGGGGAGCCAAAGGGAAACUGUUAGAUCGAGCGAGCCAUUCCAAGUGGCAAGCGAGCAGCUAUUAUGGGAACUAGGCACCGCCUUUAGGUUCAGUCAGGACUUACAAACACAAAUCCCAACCCGGAAUUAUUAUUAGAGAAGUGUCACUCACAGCACUGAACAUCACAAACAUUUCAAACAUCACGUAUACGAUUUACAAUUCGGCGUUUAGACUCUGCUUCUCUUUCUUUCAUUUUCUUGGCAGGUCUAUGUAAUGCUUGAUGUACUCUGUCAAUGAGCUGAAUGAAAUUGGCACCUGUUGGUGCCUUCUCUUGUUAAAAAAAAAGUACUUAUCCACGAUGUCCAAACCACACAUUUCCUUCACGAGCGUCAUCGGUGCAGGGACGUUGAGCUGGAACGUGAGCUGCAAGCUUCCAAACUCCUUCCUUGCUGCUCGGAUGGCUUCUCUCACCGCGCAAUGGACUGAUGAUGCGAGGACCAAGGCAGGUUCCCCACAAGCUGACAGAGGCAAAAGCGGUUUGUUUACCUUAACUGAUGAUAUUUUUCAUUUGGCAAACAAGCGAAAUAUAUUCAUGUUGCCUUAGGGAAGGAGAUCAUGAUCCUACCUUUCGACGAGAGCACACGGUUCUUGUGGAAUCCGGUGUUGAGCACCUCGGCAUUGAACUGCUUCGGGAUGGUGUCGACACUCGGGAUCUUGUAGACCCAUGUGCUGUCACUCACAACCAGUCCAUCAACGUUUGUUUCGUGUUCUUCGUUUAUGAAGAAACCAAUUCCUUGUAUAAAGGAGCCUUCAAUCUGUAAGAUGAUGGUAGAGAUCAGAUAUGAAUAUAUGAUG
Molecule: long non-coding RNA, 7152 nt
Organism: Triticum aestivum (bread wheat)
Lineage: Eukaryota; Viridiplantae; Streptophyta; Magnoliopsida; Poales; Poaceae
Exons: 3
Source: RefSeq, a predicted model, not a curated record